GACGAACGCUGGCGGCGUGCUUAACACAUGCAAGUCGAACGGAAAGGCCCUGCUUUUGUGGGGUGCUCGAGUGGCGAACGGGUGAGUAACACGUGAGUAACCUGCCCUUGACUUUGGGAUAACUUCAGGAAACUGGGGCUAAUACCGGAUAGGAGCUCCUGCUGCAUGGUGGGGGUUGGAAAGUUUCGGCGGUUGGGGAUGGACUCGCGGCUUAUCAGCUUGUUGGUGGGGUAGUGGCUUACCAAGGCUUUGACGGGUAGCCGGCCUGAGAGGGUGACCGGCCACAUUGGGACAGAGGAACGGCCCGGACGCCUACGGGAGGCAGGAGUGGGGAAUAUUGCACAAUGGGCGGAAGCCUGAUGCAGCAACGCCGCGUGCGGGAUGACGGCCUUCGGGUUGUAAACCGCUUUCGCCUGUGACGAAGCGUGAGUGACGGAAAUGGGCAAAGAAGCACCGGCUAACUACGU
RNAcentral lists this ribosomal RNA (467 nucleotides) under uncultured bacterium. Its description in RNAcentral is "partial 16S ribosomal RNA". It matches the Rfam family "Bacterial small subunit ribosomal RNA", at positions 28 to 506 of the family's 1533-position model. The record is from RNAcentral.